CGGUGGUUAUUGCGGCAGGGGUACGCCCGGUCCCUUUCCGAACCCGGAAGCUAAGCCUGUUUGCGCUGAUGGUACUGCACCUGUGAGGGUGUGGGAGAGUAAGUUGCUGCCGACC
This 115-nucleotide ribosomal RNA is filed under the name Corynebacterium spheniscorum. Lineage: Bacteria; Bacillati; Actinomycetota; Actinomycetes; Mycobacteriales; Corynebacteriaceae. The record is from RNAcentral.